Molecule: transfer RNA, 96 nt
Filed under: Micromonospora parathelypteridis
Lineage: Bacteria; Bacillati; Actinomycetota; Actinomycetes; Micromonosporales; Micromonosporaceae
Description: tRNA-Thr
Source: RNAcentral
CGACUGUUCAGGUCGGCGUGCAGGUCCCAGCGGGCCAGUGUCGUGCAGGCGGCACGCAGGUCGACCGUGGCGCCGUUCGAGGCGGUGCCGGUCGGC